CCCUUAGAUGUCCUGGGCUGCACGCGCGCUACACUGAUGUGUCCAGUAAGCACCUAACCUCUUCCGAGAGGAACGGGUAACCUUUGCAAAGCACAUCGUGAUGGGGAUAGAUUAUUGCAAUUAUUAGUCUUGAACGAGGAAUUCCUAGUAAGCACAAGUCAUCAGCUUGUGUUGAUUACGUCCCUGCCCUUUGUACACACCGCCCGUCGCUCCUACCGAUUGAAUGUUCCGGUGAGCUCUUCGGACUGCGCGGUCUGCAGUUUCUGCGUUCCGUGCGGAAAGUUGUGCAAACCUUAACAUUUAGAGGAAGGAGAAGUCGUAACA
RNAcentral lists this ribosomal RNA (324 nucleotides) under uncultured eukaryote. RNAcentral describes it as "partial 18S ribosomal RNA". It matches the Rfam family "Eukaryotic small subunit ribosomal RNA", at positions 1470 to 1796 of the family's 1831-position model. The record is from RNAcentral.